RNAcentral lists this long non-coding RNA (1511 nucleotides) under Sus scrofa (pig). RNAcentral's name for it is "lncRNA (ENSSSCG00040016067.1)". The record is from RNAcentral. Lineage: Eukaryota; Metazoa; Chordata; Mammalia; Artiodactyla; Suidae.
CCAGGCUCAAAGGGUAAGGAAAUAGACCCAGCCACUGAUGAGAGAGACCACAUUCCAACCAAGGAUGCCCACAGAAUGGGGUGGAUAAUAUUAGCAAACAUCUACGAUUAUAUCUCCAAUAAUUCUGGGAAUGAGGAAAACGAAGUUCAACAUGUUCUUAUAAAUCCCUCUGUAGGUUGCAGAUGUGUUCGAGUGCAUUGUGUGUGGUGUCCUGACAAAGCCCUUUUGGUUUUGUGUGUCACAAGGGCUUGGGGCGCUGAGAAUCAGCCUUGGGGACCACCGCUCUCCCGCUUCGAAUUCCCAGCCGGAAUAAAGGAAGGCAUCUGUUUUCAUAAUUUAGGGGAUAAAGUGCCAUCGCUAGGGCAGACAUUUUUGUGGGGAAGGUUGUCUUGUUUUAUAGGAGGGUUGACAGGGGAAAUUAAGCCCCAUUUAGUCCCUCGACCUUUGGUUUCCAAACUGGAAAGAGCACAGUGUGUGUUCCAAUAGCCUCCCUGAAGUCAUUAUUGCUUCAGAGCCAGCUGAAUUGCUUGAUAAUAGCGAUUCUUUGCACUUGUAGAAUGUGUUUCCUCUGAGGAGGGCCAAGUAAUUUACAAUCACUUAUUAAUUAAUCCUCAGUCCCCUGCAUGAGAUGCGGCUGCGAUGCGGCUGCGUCAUUGUGUAUCUUUGACAGAUGUGUGAAGUGGCCAAAGGGAGACAAAGCGACAUUAAGCCUCUGCCCAAGGUCACUUGUCUAACUCACUGGACACCGUCCCAGCUCCACCAGCCUCCCCAUCCGCCCUGCAAGCCUUUCCCACAGAAGCGCUGGAAUUUCUCGGGGCUGGUUCCAGCCAUUGCAGAAAGCCUGACUUUUUCAGAUCAAACAGUCGGUAAGAAGGUGGCAACCUGGAAAUGUGGAUUGCAUUCAUCCUGGGCUUCUCCUACUGGAUGGCAAGGUCUGAACAAUUCGGAAACUCAGUCCUGGGAAACCGGCCAGAGAAGAAACGGAUGGACCUGCUCUCUGGAGGCUUCCGGUCUCCAGAGGCUUCCGGUCGCUGGAGGCUUCCGGUCUCCUGAGGUUUCCUGUCUCCGAAGGCUUCCGGUCUCACGCUGUAGGAAUGCGACAGUCAACCACAGCGAACAUCGCUGCGGUCUGAGAUUAUCAGUAAAUGGUUUCUGAGCAAGGCAGGAACUUAACUGAGCCUUUCCAAAUACUGUUGCUUCCACCUGGAACUCACCCUUCAUCUCAUCUUCUAGAAAAACACCUACUUUUCCUUAAAGAAACUGUAAGUCCAAAGUCAGGGCAUCUUUCAGCUCGCCUCAGCCCAGCUCUGCCUUUCCUCCUCCCUCAAGUCCUUCAGUUGCUGCCAGUUCUGCAAAUUACACCUGGAGCGCUUUGACAGAGAGUUGGCUGGACCAUAGGACCUCGGGGCCUGAGGCAAGACAAGAUUGUCCCAAGUGGAAAUACAGACCUCACGCUCCCUCAAGAUAGCUUAGGGUGUGGAUAAGUAUACACCUGCUAUGUAUAACAGGUG